Molecule: ribosomal RNA, 253 nt
Filed under: uncultured bacterium
Lineage: Bacteria
Description: partial 16S ribosomal RNA
Rfam family: Bacterial small subunit ribosomal RNA
Source: RNAcentral
UACGGAGGGGGUUAGCGUUGUUCGGAAUUACUGGGCGUAAAGCGCACGUAGGCGGGCUGUUAAGUCGGGGGUGAAAUCCCGGGGCUCAACCCCGGAACUGCCUUCGAUACUGGCAGCCUUGAGUCCGAGAGAGGUGAGUGGAAUUCCGAGUGUAGAGGUGAAAUUCGUAGAUAUUCGGAGGAACACCAGUGGCGAAGGCGGCUCACUGGCUCGGUACUGACGCUGAGGUGCGAAAGCGUGGGGAGCAAACAGG